AACCAAUAUUUUUUGGUGACUCAUAAUAACUUUACGGAUCACAUUAUGUGACAUAUCAUUCAAGUUUCUGACCUAUCAGCUUUAGACGGUAGGGUAUUGGCCUACCGUGGCUAUGACGGGUAACGGGGAAUUAGGGUUCGAUUCCGGAGAGGGAGCCUGAGAAACGGCUACCACAUCUAAGGAAGGCAGCAGGCGCGCAAAUUACCCAAUCCUAAUACAGGGAGGUAGUGACAAGAAAUAACAAUACAGAACCUUACGGUUUUGUAAUUGGAAUGAGUUAAGUAUAAACCCCUUAACAAGUAUCAAUUGGAGGGCAAGUCUGGUGCCAGCAGCCGCGGUAAUUCCAGCUCCAAUAGCGUAUAUUAAAGUUGUUGCAGUUAAAAAGCUCGUAGUUAAUCUUCUGUUAAUUUUUAUAUAUAAUAUUUCGAUAUUUAUAUAAUAUUAACAUAAUUCAUAUUACUUUUUAGUAUAUGAAACUUUACUUUGAGAAAAUUAGAGUGCUUAAAGCAGGCUAUUGCCUUGAAUACUCCAGCAUGGAAUAAUAUUAAGGAUUUUUAUUCUUCUUAUUGGUUCUAGAAUAAAAAUGAUGAUUAAUAGGAACAGUUGGGGGCAUUUGUAUUUAACAGUCAGAGGUGAAAUUCUUAGAUUUGUUAAAGACAAACUACUGCGAAAGCAUUUGCCAAGGAUGUUUUCAUUAAUCAAGAACGAAAGUUAGGGGAUCGAAGACGAUCAGAUACCGUCGUAGUCUUAACCAUAAACUAUGCCAACUAGAGAU
RNAcentral lists this ribosomal RNA (775 nucleotides) under Cryptosporidium bovis. RNAcentral describes it as "SSU rRNA". It matches the Rfam family "Eukaryotic small subunit ribosomal RNA", at positions 220 to 1053 of the family's 1831-position model. Lineage: Eukaryota; Apicomplexa; Conoidasida; Eucoccidiorida; Cryptosporidiidae. The record is from RNAcentral.